This 850-nucleotide RNase MRP RNA is filed under the name Kwoniella heveanensis BCC8398. Its description in RNAcentral is "RNase MRP". It matches the Rfam family "RNase MRP". From Rfam's summary of the family: RNase MRP is an enzymatically active ribonucleoprotein with two distinct roles in eukaryotes. The record is from Rfam by way of RNAcentral. Lineage: Eukaryota; Fungi; Basidiomycota; Tremellomycetes; Tremellales; Cryptococcaceae.
GCCCAAGCACAAGAAUCGUAAUCGCAGCUCACGUCACCAACAAGCCGUCUCCGCCAUCCAAAUCGUACGACGCGGAUAUCUCGGACGGACGGCCUUGUCACACUCUUGCUGUGGGUGAAAGUCCCCGGAGCCUCUAUCCAUCCCUUCGUUUCUAUCUACUCCCUCUCCACGUCUACCGUCUUUUCUCUUCCGCUUCGUUGUACAUGGUCAACGGGUUACGGCGUGGUAUGAGUCUUAUCGCUUGCCUUCGCUACGAAUCAUGAGCUGUUCUUGCUGUCUUGCCUCGCGCAUUGACACAGACGGGAGAAGGGGGACUUGCACCGUUCCGAAAGGACCCGCACCCAAGCACUGCGGGAAUGAUGGCUUGUCCUACCCCUUCUCUUUCAGCUCAUGAUCAGAAGGAAAACGGACUAAUUCCCACCCGGGACCAUUCCAAACGUUGGCCGAUGGCAAAGUGGGAGAUGAGGCAAGAGACUAGCUUGACCGCUACGGAUUCUUCGUUGUAAAUUCUCCACCACUCGUACCGACGGUUUCACCCGGGUUUGUGAGAAGUGAGAGAUGGAAUCCAGGUUAUAUUAGCUUGAGGGGCUAGGUAAUUUUCGACAUUUCCCUUUGUCGUUCUACCUUUUCCACGCAGGCGAAGAUACGAGCCGCGAGGAAAAUCACAGGUAGAUGGAAAUUCGGAAGGCGGAGGGACACAACACCUUGCAUCAUCCUCGAUGGUGCAUGGACGGGUGGAUGAAAUUACGCGCUCAUAGGUCAUAGUCAUGCGAUUGUCUCGAGUCUCCUGAUUCCGUAUUCAGAAGUCGGGAGGAGAGAUAACUCGAUGGGGCUUACUCUGUGUCUUGGG